This 433-nucleotide ribosomal RNA is filed under the name uncultured bacterium. RNAcentral describes it as "partial 16S ribosomal RNA". It matches the Rfam family "Bacterial small subunit ribosomal RNA", at positions 29 to 507 of the family's 1533-position model. The record is from RNAcentral.
AGCGAGCGCUGGCGGCAGGCUUAACACGUGCAAGUCGAGCGGACCUUUCGGGGUCAGCGGCGGACGGGUGAGUAACGCGUGGGAACGUGCCUUCCGGUUCGGAAUAACCCUGGGAAACUAGGGCUAAUACCGGAUACGCCCUUAUGGGGAAAGGUUUACUGCCGGAAGAUCGGCCCGCGUCUGAUUAGCUAGUUGGUGGGGUAACGGCCUACCAAGGCGACGAUCAGUAGCUGGUCUGAGAGGAUGAUCAGCCACACUGGGACUGAGACACGGCCCAGACUCCUACGGGAGGCAGCAGUGGGGAAUAUUGGACAAUGGGCGCAAGCCUGAUCCAGCCAUGCCGCGUGAGUGAUGAAGGCCUUAGGGUUGUAAAGCUCUUUUAUCCGGGACGAUAAUGACGGUACCGGAGGAAUAAGCCCCGGCUAACUUCGUG